GGGGGGGCAGUCGUAGAGAUAGUAGAUUGUAGCUCUAAAGGUGAAAUAUUAAAUUUCUCCCUCUA
RNAcentral lists this transfer RNA (65 nucleotides) under Xyloredo nooi. Its description in RNAcentral is "tRNA-Tyr". The record is from RNAcentral. Lineage: Eukaryota; Metazoa; Mollusca; Bivalvia; Myida; Pholadidae.